GACGAACGCUGGCGGCGUGCUUAACACAUGCAAGUCGAACGCUGAAGCUCAGCUUGCUGGGUGGAUGAGUGGCGAACGGGUGAGUAACACGUGAGUAACCUGCCCUCUUCUUUGGGAUAACGCCCGGAAACGGGUGCUAAUACUGGAUAUUCACUGAUUCUCGCAUGGGGGUUGGUGGAAAGGUUUUUUCUGGUGGGGGAUGGGCUCGCGGGCUAUCCGCUUGUUGGUGGGGUGAUGGCCUACCAAGGCUUUGACGGGUGGCCGGCAUGGGAGGGUGACCGGGCACAUUGGGACUGCGAUACGGCCCAGACUCAGACGGGAGGCAGCAGUGGGGAAUAUUGCACGAUGGGCGAAAGCCUGAUGCAGCGGCGCCGCGUGAGGGAUGGAGGCCUGCGGGUUGGAAACCUCUUUCGCUCAUGGUCAAGCCGCAGCGUUGGGUUGUGGUGAGGGUAGUGGGUAAAGAAGCGCCGGCUAACUACGUG
Molecule: ribosomal RNA, 482 nt
Filed under: uncultured bacterium
Lineage: Bacteria
Description: partial 16S ribosomal RNA
Rfam family: Bacterial small subunit ribosomal RNA
Source: RNAcentral